GAUGAACGCUGGCGGCGUGCUUAACACAUGCAAGUCGGACGGGAUCCAUCAAGCUUGCUUGGUGGUGAGAGUGGCGAACGGGUGAGUAAUGCGUGACCGACCUGCCCCAUACACCGGAAUAGCUCCUGGAAACGGGUGGUAAUGCCGGAUGCUCCAGUUGAUCGCAUGGUCUUCUGGGAAAGCUUUCGCGGUAUGGGAUGGGGUCGCGUCCUAUCAGCUUGACGGCGGGGUAACGGCCCACCGUGGCUUCGACGGGUAGCCGGCCUGAGAGGGCGACCGGCCACAUUGGGACUGAGAUACGGCCCAGACUCCUACGGGAGGCAGCAGUGGGGAAUAUUGCACAAUGGGCGCAAGCCUGAUGCAGCGACGCCGCGUGAGGGAUGGAGGCCUUCGGGUUGUAAACCUCUUUUAUCGGGGAGCAAGCGAGAGUGAGUUUACCCGUUGAAUAAGCAC
Molecule: ribosomal RNA, 453 nt
Filed under: uncultured bacterium
Lineage: Bacteria
Description: bacterial SSU rRNA
Rfam family: Bacterial small subunit ribosomal RNA
Source: RNAcentral